GUUGUGGAGUUUCUUGAAAGUAAACUGCACUGCUUGCUGCAUAGAGUUUCAGGGCAAAAUCAAAUCACUGGAUUCAGAUAAUUCAAACACCCUGCGCUGUCCGAAGUAACCAAUAUAGUGUCCAUUUGGUGCGUGACAGAGCCUAGAGGUGCAGAAGGAGAGAUGGAAAAGCCACUACAAAGAGUCAGGAGAACUGUGACUGAGAAGCGUAGAAGAUCUGUGUCAAACAACAGAUGAACAUCUGGAAAAAAACCAUUUGUUUUCCUGGCAUUGGGUUUCAGACAUAGAGACAAGACUGGAUUCCCUUGCAGAAUAAGUGACACAGCCUCAGGGAGCUCCCAUGUAACAGUCAGAUGAGGUUCACCUUCAUUACCCUAGUAAAAUGACCCAUUUAACCAAAGACAAAAACACAAAUGUGACAUUAUCUGAUUAAAAUAUGACCAUGCAAACCAUUGUUGCUACCAUGGUUGUAUAAUUGCAACGGAUCUUAUUCGGAGUGUAACACAUGGCCAGAAAGGGUUAAGCAGCUUGCUGGCUAAAUGACCCAAGCUUUAAAGUCAUGUUAGGAAAGUAUGCGAAUGGUAAGUAGGGCCUCUCCCUAUGAGAUAGGCUGGAACUUUGAAGUGAAAACCUGUAUUGUUAGAGAAUUAGAGGUGAUACUUAUUGUAUGUGUUUACGUGGCUAAUUAUUAAACAAGAUAUAAGUAAA
Molecule: long non-coding RNA, 708 nt
Organism: Dermochelys coriacea (leatherback sea turtle)
Lineage: Eukaryota; Metazoa; Chordata; Testudines; Dermochelyidae
Exons: 5
Source: RefSeq, a predicted model, not a curated record